RNAcentral lists this small nucleolar RNA (91 nucleotides) under Choloepus hoffmanni (Hoffmann's two-fingered sloth). RNAcentral describes it as "Small nucleolar RNA SNORA31 (ENSCHOG00000015888.1)". Lineage: Eukaryota; Metazoa; Chordata; Mammalia; Pilosa; Megalonychidae. The record is from RNAcentral.
UUUCCACUACAGAUUCAAGGGGGAAAAAAAGAUCCUUUUGCUUUCCAUUUGUUUGAUUGUGGCAGCAAAGAUUGAAUGGGGGAAUAUAGGA